Molecule: long non-coding RNA, 754 nt
Organism: Serinus canaria (Common canary)
Lineage: Eukaryota; Metazoa; Chordata; Aves; Passeriformes; Fringillidae
Exons: 2
Source: RefSeq, a predicted model, not a curated record
UUGCUCUUUCCCUGCACCUUACAGGGGUAAGGGCGAAUUUAGAAGGCUCUGGAAAAGCCCUCGGGAGCCUUUGGAGGGGCUGGGCAGCGCUGCUGUUGGAGGGGAACAAUCUGGAAGGGAUGAGCUGGUAAAGAAAUGGGAGAAGCCGGUGCCAGUGCGGCCACAGGAGUUCAAAACGCAGCGCCAGAAGUUUCUGCAUCAAAACCACAAAAACCUCCCGGUGGAAACACUCGGGGUGCAAGAUAACAGAAGAGUCAGGCCACCCAGAGCACAGCUCAGAGGCGGUGGCAGCAAUGAGGGAGGGGACAGAGCUGAGCGUCUCCCGGAGCCACCUGGAGCCCGUGGAGGAGCGAGGAGGUGGAUUUGGAAUCCUUUCCUCGGAAGGAUUUGGAAUUUCUGGAGCGGCACAGCCCAGCGCGGAGCAGGUGGCAGAGAUGGAUCCCUCGUUGUGCCCGGCUGAUGGAGGGCUCUCAGACUGAUCGAUUGCCCACGCUGCGGUGCGCAGGAAUUGCUGGACUGGAUCGGUACCGGGCUCCGAGCAGCCUGUGCUCCUUCAUCGAGCCGCGCCUGAGCCAUCAGGAAGCUGUAAAAAGCCUUCAGGAGCCGAUAAUCUGCUUUUUAUACCCCCAGCGCACACAGCCACAGGCCCUGCUCUCACAGAAGCUGCAGCCCGGUUGUUAAUGGGAGCAGACCUUGAAGGAUGGAAUUGCAUUUCUGUUCUUAAAAAAAAAAGAGAGAUAAAAAAUAAAAAAUG